Molecule: ribosomal RNA, 1372 nt
Filed under: uncultured bacterium
Lineage: Bacteria
Description: bacterial SSU rRNA
Rfam family: Bacterial small subunit ribosomal RNA
Source: RNAcentral
GAUGAACGCUGGCGGCGUGCCUAAUACAUGCAAGUCGAGCGAACAGACGAGGAGCUUGCUCCUUUGACGUUAGCGGCGGACGGGUGAGUAACACGUGGGUAACCUACCUAUAAGACUGGGAUAACUUCGGGAAACCGGAGCUAAUACCGGAUAAUAUUUCGAACCGCAUGGUUCGAUAGUGAAAGAUGGCCCUGCUAUCACUUAUAGAUGGACCUGCGCCGUAUUAGCUAGUUGGUAAGGUAACAGCUUACCAAGGCAACGAUACGUAGCCGACCUGAGAGGGUGAUCGGCCACACUGGAACUGAGACACGGUCCAGACUCCUACGGGAGGCAGCAGUAGGGAAUCUUCCGCAAUGGGCGAAAGCCUGACGGAGCAACGCCGCGUGAGUGAUGAAGGUCUUCGGAUCGUAAAACUCUGUUAUUAGGGAAGAACAAACGUGUAAGUAACUGUGCACGUCUUGACGGUACCUAAUCAGAAAGCCACGGCUAACUACGUGCCAGCAGCCGCGGUAAUACGUAGGUGGCAAGCGUUAUCCGGAAUUAUUGGGCGUAAAGCGCGCGUAGGCGGUUUUUUAAGUCUGAUGUGAAAGCCCACGGCUCAACCGUGGAGGGUCAUUGGAAACUGGAAAACUUGAGUGCAGAAGAGGAAAGUGGAAUUCCAUGUGUAGCGGUGAAAUGCGCAGAGAUAUGGAGGAACACCAGUGGCGAAGGCGACUUUCUGGUCUGUAACUGACGCUGAUGUGCGAAAGCGUGGGGAUCAAACAGGAUUAGAUACCCUGGUAGUCCACGCCGUAAACGAUGAGUGCUAAGUGUUAGGGGGUUUCCGCCCCUUAGUGCUGCAGCUAACGCAUUAAGCACUCCGCCUGGGGAGUACGACCGCAAGGUUGAAACUCAAAGGAAUUGACGGGGACCCGCACAAGCGGUGGAGCAUGUGGUUUAAUUCGAAGCAACGCGAAGAACCUUACCAAAUCUUGACAUCCUUUGACCCUUCUAGAGAUAGAAGUUUCCCCUUCGGGGGACAAAGUGACAGGUGGUGCAUGGUUGUCGUCAGCUCGUGUCGUGAGAUGUUGGGUUAAGUCCCGCAACGAGCGCAACCCUUAAGCUUAGUUGCCAUCAUUAAGUUGGGCACUCUAAGUUGACUGCCGGUGACAAACCGGAGGAAGGUGGGGAUGACGUCAAAUCAUCAUGCCCCUUAUGAUUUGGGCUACACACGUGCUACAAUGGACAAUACAAAGGGCAGCGAAACCGCGAGGUCAAGCAAAUCCCAUAAAGUUGUUCUCAGUUCGGAUUGUAGUCUGCAACUCGACUACAUGAAGCUGGAAUCGCUAGUAAUCGUAGAUCAGCAUGCUACGGUGAAUACGUUCCCGGGUCU